UUAGUAUGUAUAUCAGCAAAAUCAGUUAUGCACAUAUAUGCCAUGCUAUAUUUGAAUCAACAAGGAGUGAUUUUUCCACCUACGACGACUUCAUUAGGGCCAUCCGGGAUGGAAUAAGGAGAGCCAAAAAUAAAAAUUAUAAGGAAAAAUCCAAAAAAAACAAAGAAAAUU
This 171-nucleotide small RNA is filed under the name Drosophila ananassae. RNAcentral's name for it is "GF26338". Lineage: Eukaryota; Metazoa; Arthropoda; Insecta; Diptera; Drosophilidae. The record is from RNAcentral.